This 464-nucleotide ribosomal RNA is filed under the name Vreelandella stevensii. RNAcentral describes it as "partial 16S ribosomal RNA". It matches the Rfam family "Bacterial small subunit ribosomal RNA", at positions 338 to 795 of the family's 1533-position model. The record is from RNAcentral. Lineage: Bacteria; Pseudomonadati; Pseudomonadota; Gammaproteobacteria; Oceanospirillales; Halomonadaceae.
CCUACGGGAGGCAGCAGUGGGGAAUAUUGGACAAUGGGGGCAACCCUGAUCCAGCCAUGCCGCGUGUGUGAAGAAGGCCCUCGGGUUGUAAAGCACUUUCAGUGAGGAAGAACGCCUGGUGGUUAAUACCCAUCAGGAAAGACAUCACUCACAGAAGAAGCACCGGCUAACUCCGUGCCAGCAGCCGCGGUAAUACGGAGGGUGCGAGCGUUAAUCGGAAUUACUUGGCGUAAAGCGCGCGUAGGUGGCUUGAUAAGCCGGUUGUGAAAGCCCCGGGCUCAACCUGGGAACGGCAUCCGGAACUGUCAAGCUAGAGUGAAGGAGAGGAAGGUAGAAUUCCCGGUGUAGCGGUGAAAUGCGUAGAGAUCGGGAGGAAUACCAGUGGCGAAGGCGGCCUUCUGGACUGACACUGACACUGAGGUGCGAAAGCGUGGGUAGCAAACAGGAUUAGAUACCCCUUAGUC